Molecule: ribosomal RNA, 460 nt
Filed under: uncultured bacterium
Lineage: Bacteria
Description: partial 16S ribosomal RNA
Rfam family: Bacterial small subunit ribosomal RNA
Source: RNAcentral
CCUACGGGAGGCAGCAGUGAGGAAUAUUGGUCAAUGGACGCAAGUCUGAACCAGCCAUGCCGCGUGCGGGAAGACGGCUCUAUGAGUUGUAAACUGCUUUUGUACGAGGGUAAACGCAGAUACGCGUAUCUGUCUGAAAGUAUCGUACGAAUAAGGAUCGGCUAACUCCGUGCCAGCAGCCGCGGUAAUACGGAGGAUUCAAGCGUUAUCCGGAUUUAUUGGGUUUAAAGGGUGCGUAGGCGGUUGGAUAAGUUAGAGGUGAAAUCCCGAGGCUCAACUUCGGAAUUGCCUCGGAUACUGUUGGGCUAGAGAGCAGUUGCGGUAGGCGGAAUGUAUGGUGUAGCGGUGAAAUGCUUAGAGAUCAUACAGAACACCGAUUGCGAAGGCAGCUUACCAAGCUACUUCUGACGUUGAGGCACGAAAGCGUGGGUAGCGAACAGGAUUAGAUACCCCAGUAGUC